Long non-coding RNA from Pan troglodytes (chimpanzee), 1479 nucleotides. RefSeq lists it as uncharacterized. The transcript is spliced from 2 exons. Lineage: Eukaryota; Metazoa; Chordata; Mammalia; Primates; Hominidae. The record is from RefSeq and is a predicted model, not a curated record.
ACUGAGUUCCCACAAGAAGGAAGGAAUUCUCCCUUCAGGCUGUAGACUGCAACAGCAGUUCCUGUGGGAAUGACCAGCCUCCUGCCUGCCCUUUACCACGGGAACCCUGAACGUGGAAGAAGACUUUGGACCCAGAUCCUGCUCCACACCGUCACUCACCCCGCGGUGAGCAGCAGAAGGGCCUUUGAGAGGGUCGCCUCUUCCGUCGCUGUUCCGGUGGGGGAGGGGCGCAGACCCCUUUCCUGGGGACAGGAGGCCGUGGGCAUCAGCAGCAGGCAGGAGGGACCACCUCUUUCUCCCCGCCAUGCAAACAGCCAUGCUCGCCACUGCCCAGGUCCUCCUCCGGCUGCCACUGUAAACUGAGGCAGCUGCUGCUUCCCCCCAAACUGUCCCCCAGCCAGGGCUCGGCCCGCAGUGGGACCCUGCGGGCCAUCUGACCGCGCUCAGCUUCUCAUCCGCCCGAGAUGCCAGGCUCCGGAGGCACCAUCCCUCACGGGGACUCCGCGGUCUUGGAAAGGCCGCUGUCCUGCUUCGGGAAGGCCGGGUGGCUGCGCCCUCUGGCCGGUGAGAAGCUCAGUGCGGGCCGGGCCGCCUCCCUGCCUUCAGGAGCAUUUGCCAUUCCUGCAUUACCUAGGACUGCAAAGGUCAAACUAUGUCUGUUUGAAAGGUAGCCAAAAUCUCAAGCUAAAAGAUGAUCAUUCGGGAUGCUUUGACAUUCAAACAUCUUGAGUGACGCUCUAGUCUCCCACUGAUUCCGUCCAGGUCUGCAGAGAGGCCCUGCAGACAGCCUAGAGCAGUGACACCCUCCAGGCUGCGUCUCCAUUCGGGAGUCCGUAGCCACCUUUACCAAACACAGAAGACCUCCAGCAGCUGCUGCUGCUGCUUUGUGUGUGUGCAACACCGGGACCCUUUGCUAUUUUCCUUCGUGCUUUCCUUUCUUUUCUUUUCUUUUCUUUUCUUUUUUUUUUUUUUUUGAGACGGAGUCUUGCUCUGUCGCCCAGGCUGGUGUGCAGUGGGGCCAUCUCGGCUCACUGCAAGCUCCGCCUCCUGGGUUCACGCCAUGCUCUUGCCUCAGCCUCCAGAGUAGCUGGGAUUGCAGGCGCCCCCCACCGCGCCCAGCUAAUUUUUUUGUAUUUUUAGUAGAGACGGGGUUUCACCGUGGUCUCGAUCUCCUGACCUCGUGAUCCGCCCGCCUCGGCCUCCCAAAGUGCUGGGAUGACAGGCGUGAGCCACCGCGCCCGGCCAUGCUUUCCUUUCUUGUUUAGCCACUAACAUGUAUUACUUUCAUAAUUCAAAAAAUUGUAAGUGCAAGAAUUCCAAGUUACUGUGUGUCAAAGGCAUGAAGCAAACCCAAAAGCUGCAACCUCUUUCCCUGCCGCAAAACCUCAUUGCUGUAGUCCCCCUGAAUAAAGUCUGUCUCACUGCCUAAAAAAAGGAAAGAAAGAAAGAAAGAAAAACAAGAUGGGGCAAAGUACAGAA